Molecule: non-coding RNA, 76 nt
Organism: Myotis lucifugus (little brown bat)
Lineage: Eukaryota; Metazoa; Chordata; Mammalia; Chiroptera; Vespertilionidae
Source: Rfam
GAGACACCCCUCCGGGGCAAGACUUGCUUCAAUGGGGCUGUGGUGCUCACUGAGUCUGCCCCUUGAGUGUGUCCUU